Molecule: ribosomal RNA, 465 nt
Filed under: uncultured bacterium
Lineage: Bacteria
Description: partial 16S ribosomal RNA
Rfam family: Bacterial small subunit ribosomal RNA
Source: RNAcentral
GACGAACGCUGGCGGCGUGCUUAACACAUGCAAGUCGUACGGUAAGGCCCUUUCGGGGGUACACGAGUGGCGCACGGGUGAGUAACACGUGAGUAACCUGCCCACAACUUUGGGAUAACGCUAGGAAACUGGUGCUAAUACUGGAUAUGUGCUCCUGCUGCAUGGUGGGGGUUGGAAAGCUCCGGCGGGUGUGGGUGGACUCGCGGCCUAGCGGCUUGUUGGUGGGGUAGUGGCCUACCAAGGCGGCGACGGGUAGCCGGCCUGGGGGGGUGACCGGCCACAUUGGGACUGAGAUACGGCCCAGACUCCUACGGGAGGCAGCAGUGGGGAAUCUUGCACGAUGGGCGCCAGCCUGAUGCAGCAACGCCGCGGGCGGGAUGACGGCCUUCGGGUUGUAAACCGCUUUCAGCAGGGACGAAGCUUUUUGUGACGGUACCUGCAGAAGAAGCACCGGCUAACUACGUG